UGCGUACUGAUGUUGUUUAUCAUCUUAACAACAUGUUUUAUUGUUCUUUCAUUUGUUUUUGUUAUAGUAUUAAUAUUACUUUUACUGUUGAAUGGUUUUAUGUGAUAUCAGUUUGACGUGGCUCGGUACUUAUACAUCUCGUCAAUGUGUUUGUAUUGGCUUUCAUUUUUUUGUGGUUUGUUUUGUAUAUGCGACUUUUUGUAUUUCUUUUCUUCUUAUUACGUGACUGUAAUUUAAAAGAUCCCGUCAGUAUUAUAUUGGUCUAUUAUAUGUCAUUAUGAUAUAUUUCUAUUAUGAAUUACUAUAUACGUUGAACCACAAACGUCAAAAUCAUUCAAUCGCGUAGUG
This 348-nucleotide long non-coding RNA is filed under the name Mytilus galloprovincialis (Mediterranean mussel). Lineage: Eukaryota; Metazoa; Mollusca; Bivalvia; Mytilida; Mytilidae. The record is from RNAcentral.